CAGCUAUUAUAAGUUAUAUGGUUCGCUGCUGACCCCAUACGGAUCCAUAGAGGGUUAGUAAAAUCCAUAGGGGGUGAGGCCGGAGGCCGAAUCCCCUAUGAAUUUUAUUCACCCUCUAUGGAUCCGUAGGGGGUCAGUAGUUAACCGUAUAACGAAUUUAUCGGACGCUGGACUUUUUCUGCUGCGUUUUGUUGAAAAAUAAACAAUGAAACACAAC
RNAcentral lists this long non-coding RNA (217 nucleotides) under Mytilus galloprovincialis (Mediterranean mussel). The record is from RNAcentral. Lineage: Eukaryota; Metazoa; Mollusca; Bivalvia; Mytilida; Mytilidae.